Molecule: ribosomal RNA, 460 nt
Filed under: uncultured bacterium
Lineage: Bacteria
Description: partial 16S ribosomal RNA
Rfam family: Bacterial small subunit ribosomal RNA
Source: RNAcentral
CCUACGGGUGGCAGCAGUGAGGAAUAUUGGUCAAUGGGAGGAAUCCUGAACCAGCCAUGCCGCGUGCAGGACGACGGCUCUACGAGUUGUAAACUGCUUUUGUACCGGGGUAAAACGCUCUACGAGUAGGGUUUUGAAAGUACGGUACGAAUAAGGAUCGGCUAACUACGUGCCAGCAGCCGGGGUAAUACGGAGGAUCCGAGCGUUUAUCGGAUUCAUUUGGGUUAAAGGGUGCGUAGGUUGGUAUAUAAGUUCGCGGGGAAAUACCGAGGGUCAAACUCGGGGCGGCCGCUGAUACUGGAGGACUAGAGAGCGGAUGCAGCAGGCGGAAUGUGUAGUGGAGCGGUGAAAUGCAUAGAUAUUACACAGAACACCGAUUGCGAAGGCAGCUUGCUAGGCCGGAUCUGACGCUGAUGCACGAAAGCGUGGGGAUCGAACAGGAUUAGAUACCCUUGUAGUC